CCUACGGGUGGCAGCAGUGGGGGAUAUUGCACAAUGGGCGAAAGCCUGAUGCAGCGACGCCGCGUGAGGGAAGACGGUCUUCGGAUUGUAAACCUCUGUCUUUGGGGAAGAAUAGAGACGGUACCCAAAGAGGAAGCUCCGGCUAACUACGUGCCAGCAGCCGCGGUAAUACGUAGGGAGCGAGCGUUGUCCGGAAUUACUGGGUGUAAAGGGAGCGUAGGCGGGCUUGUAAGUUGAAUGUCUAAUCCACCGGCUCAACCGGUGAUCGCGUUCAAAACUGCAGGUCUUGAGUGAAGUAGAGGCAGGCGGAAUUCCUAGUGUAGCGGUGAAAUGCGUAGAUAUUAGGAGGAACACCAGUGGCGAAGGCGGCCUGCUGGGCUUUAACUGACGCUGAGGCUCG
This 400-nucleotide ribosomal RNA is filed under the name uncultured bacterium. RNAcentral describes it as "bacterial SSU rRNA". It matches the Rfam family "Bacterial small subunit ribosomal RNA", at positions 338 to 755 of the family's 1533-position model. The record is from RNAcentral.